This is a long non-coding RNA of Trachemys scripta elegans, 785 nucleotides long. RefSeq lists it as uncharacterized. The transcript is spliced from 3 exons. Lineage: Eukaryota; Metazoa; Chordata; Testudines; Emydidae. The record is from RefSeq and is a predicted model, not a curated record.
UCCCGGCUCUCCCUGGAGCGCGAUGCCCGGCCGGACUCCAGCCCCCGGCAUGCCCCGCGCGGGGAGCAGGGCCACCCUGUGGGACACGCCCGGCUCCCUACUGCCCCAACCCUGCUGAGGGAGCGCGGCGCAGGUACCGAGCCGAGAGCGCACUGCCGCCCCGCUGUCGGAACCGCCAGGCCCCCCUCGCCUUACGCGCCACCUACCGGAUAGCAAGGCGGCAACGCGGGAGGCCCCUGACAGACCCAGCAGCGGGAGGUUCUACCUGCUCGCAACCACUUGAUGUAAACCUUAUCCUUUCCUCUGUGCUCCCAGGAAAAUCUUAUUAUAGGAUUGGCGACAAGCGUUGGCUGUGGCGUGAGAUCUAAGGUGCAAUUGAUCUGGAGUAAGUGACUGGUCCUUUGGAACUGGGAGUAACCUGAAUAUUGCUGUGAUUCUGGGUGUAAGGGACCUUCUAUCACACAGGACAGGUAAGCUUACCUGGGUGGCAAAAGAGACUAUUGGGAGUAUCCAUGGGGACUAUCUGUGACUCCAUGUUUAGGCUAUUACAGAGCCUUAAGAAUUUACACUUGUGUGGAAACAGAGUUAAAGGAUUUAAAUAUAGGCUUCUCCAUUGUAAGAAACAGCAAUUGUCAUGCUAAGUCUUAUCCUAAUAUUGCGGGACCUGUAGAAGCAGGUGUGACGUUGUGCAGUCUAUAUGGUUUUAUAAAAACUUGAUAAUAAGUCAAUAUAAUGUAACUGAGAUAGUUUUAGAGAAAAUACGGUAAUAAGUGAAUGUAACGUAA